Sus scrofa (pig) is the source of this 5639-nucleotide non-coding RNA. The record is from RefSeq and is a predicted model, not a curated record. Lineage: Eukaryota; Metazoa; Chordata; Mammalia; Artiodactyla; Suidae.
CUGGUUUGUGGUCAUGAAAGUCUCCUAAGGACACUUUAUCCAAUAAAGCACGCAGGUAAUUGUAACGCUCACGGAGUUCACUGUGAGAUGCAGCCCCAGUUCUAUGUUGAGACAUGCAAACCAGCCAGAGAUUAUGUACCCGGCUUGCCCUGGGAUGUUGAAGCAUGAAUCAGUGAAAGAGUUCUACUUUUUUUUUAAUCUUAAACUUGGUUGCUUUCCCAAGAUUCCUGUGCAAGAAUCAGCAAGGCUCAGUUUUGCAGGUCACAAGUCAAUGUGAGGCUCAGUCUUUGAAAACAAGGGCAGUCAUUACCAACCACCAAGCUCUGUGUCCUGAAGAAUGAAGGCAGUUGUGUUUACACAGAUAAAGGCCACAAGUAAAGAAUCACAGAACUCCAGAGCUCAACCGGACUGGCCGUGUGAUGUUAGCCUUUACAUUUACCCUGGAUGUCCUCAAUUGUCCUCUAGAAAGGACACAAUGAAUGACUGCACUGAUCCUGAUUCCAGUGGGGACACUCUGGCCCAGUUCUAACCUGAAGACUCUCUAGCUGUUCUAUCAGUGGUAGGAGGUAAGUACUUAUCAAACAGCAAGUGGGUGCUUAAUAAACACUUAGGCUACAUCAUGUAUAGUAAAAGUUGAGUAAGCACAGCACUUAACUUGUAGAGACAGGAGGCAAUGCCCAGGCUUGUUUCUUGCUCUAAUAAUCUGUUUUACACCUUCCAGGAUUUCGGAUUUGCCCCUGUCCAGAUUCCCAACUGGCCAUAAACAAAGUGUCUUGGAUGCUAUAGGUAAGAAUGUAACUCACUCCAUCUGGUCUCUCAUCUUUCAAUUUUCUACACAGUCACCCAUCACAACCCAUUUCUUUCCAUCUUGCUGUCAUUUUUCCAGCCUCCAUGCUAGAAACCUUGAUGUUAGUUUCAUCUGUUCCCACAUCCAAAAAUCUCUGAGAGGUUUCCAGAAUCAUCCUUUCUUCUGAAUGCCCACUGUUACCCCGGGCCAGGAUCUGAACCAAUUCACAUGUAAAGGACCUUCAAGCUUCCUAUAUGGACUCCUUUGGAAUGGGGGAGGUGGUAGGAGGAGGCAGAGCAGUGAGUCCAAUACAAAUUGCUGAAGACGGUGGGGGCAGUUUGUUUAAAGUGAGUGAGCAGAUCUGACAGGAACAAAACCCAGAGUCUAGGAUUCCCUUUCUUGAAAAACAUAUUUUUCUCAAUCACUGCUUAAGUAUUACUGAAUCUAUCACCAACAUUUUUUAAUGUAGAAUUUUAAAAUGAAUUACAAGGGAGAAUACUUUCUGUUCUCAGUAUUUGAAUAAAAUAACAAAUAGUCAUUGCCUUUUGGAAUUUCUGAUCUGUGUAAAGCUGAAUAAAAUGUGUCAACUGACAUUAAAAAAAAUAAAAGUUUCUUCUGGAUCUACAAAUUCUGUUUCACUCCUCAGACACCCCAGAACACUUAACACACAAUCUCUUUACAAGUCCUGAGCUUAGUAGGUGUUCAACACAGCCUUGCUGAAACAGUGUCCUGGGCUGUCUGUGCAUUUCACAAGGAAACAGAUGGGAUUUAUCUUUGACUCCUCUCCUGUGCUUUAUUCUUUAAAAUUUCCCAGGCUUUUUUCAAGCUGUUUCUUGCCACUUUCACCUCCCCUCUCUCCAAAUUCUUUGAAUUCCAUUCUGUACUCAAGCUUCUUUUAAAACGAGGCUUUGUUUAAAGCAGUUUUUUUUCCCCCCAUUGCAUAGCCUUUAAAAACACCAGGGAGCCAGAAAAAUGUCUCCAGCUUUCUGUAGCACAGAUCAGAUAGACCAGUUCAGCUGAGUGAGCCCUUGACGGAUCAAAUAAGAAAGCGCCAACUACAGCAUGAUCAAUAUAUGUUGACUUAAUUCUUUUUUCGCCCCAAGGGUCUUUGUGAGCAUUUCCAUAACCGGACACCAUUUAGUAAACUGCAUGGUGCCUAAAACAAUAAAUGUGCCCUCUAAAGGGCAUGAUGUAUUCACUGGGAAAAAUUAAACAAAACAGUUAAAAGUGAAUCAAAGCUGGAAUGAGUAUAGGGAACUUAUACGCAUAGAGAUGAGGUAUAUAAUUUUAAAAAGUGGAGUGGAAGAAUCAGACUGUUGAAGGGGAAGGAUGUAUUUCAAAAGCCCUUUGAAAAAUAUAUACAAUGAAAGGUGGUUUUCUAUGUCCUUUUCUUGUUUGUGAGUUUUAGAAAUUCUACUGAAAGACGGAGACUUUCUCAGUGUUAUUGAACCAAUCAAUCCACAUGUUUUAAGACCCAGUGCCAAUAUUCUUGCUAAUCCUUAGUAUUUUUAUUUAUCUGCUGAUGAUACACUGAAGGAUUCAUGUAGCAGUCGACACUGUAAAUCAUUCUUCUGUUUUAAGAGCUAUAAAUUCCUUCCUCUCCACCCUUUUUCAAAAUAUACAUCCUUUAAUCAACAAAACCUUGGCAGAAAGUUCCCAGAAGGUCUGACAAAUGCACAAACCUAAAUGAAUUAAUUUGUGAAAAGCAAAAGUGAUUUUGUAUGCUCUGGCUGCCAAAGACAAAUGACCAAAUUAUAGCAUCUUUAUAAUGGGGGGCGGUGGGAGCCCUCAAUAACCUUUAGGGGUUAAUUGGUCACAGCAGCCACUUUCCUGAUUAAAAGUGGCUCUGAUUUCUUCUCAAUUCUUUGUUUCUAGAUGGAUUUGCCAUUUUCUCAUUGAUUAACUUUUAAAUCAUUUUGAAGCACUAAGAGAGACAUUUUUAAAUGUUAGGUUUUUUUUUUUUUUUAAAGUAUUAUUUCCUUUAGAUAAAAUUGGCUUUGCUACCUCAAAGUCAAACUUUAUAAAUCCUAUUUAGGAGUGGGGACGAUUUACAGUCUGGGGAUAGAGAACAUUGUAAUGCUGAGCUGUAAUAGCGCCAGGCCUUGCUGAGAAUUUGCAGUGUCAGCUUGUUAGAACCUGUAGAAACAGCAGACAUUCAGAAGAGGGGCUUUGAUGGUACUCUAUUGAAGGAGGAGGAUAGCAGGCUUGUCUUCAAGCUGAAUAUGCUUGGCGAGUACACAGAUUUUUCUUAGAGGUUUAUUCACAGUGGCCUUGCAGGGAGGGGCUGGGAGGGAUGCCGACAUGGAAGCUAAAGCCCUCAUAACCAUGUGUUGGGGCAGAUCUAUCAGCCACUUAGUACCAGGGUCCUCUUUAGAAGAUCAAAUAAAAUGACUUAGUAUCCAUUGGGGAAGAUGUUAGUCUUAAAAUCAUGACAGUAAUAAUUAUAGGUCACAUUUAUCCUCUGCUUGCCUAGCGUUUUAUAUAUUAUCUCCUUAACAGCCCAUUGAGGCCAGUUAUCUUCUUCUCAAUUUACAAAUGAGAAAACUGAGGCACAAAGGACAAAUGACCUUCUCAAGGUCACACAACAAGAGCCCCAAUUUGACCCUAGGGAGUCUGAUUUCAGAAGUCACCCAACCCCCUGUAAGACAACAUACAGAACCUUGCCCCUUCAUGAUACAGGCACCAAUAAACACAGCUUCCUUGGAGUGAACGCUGUAGGAUGACUCCCUGCUCGAAGCCCAGACACAUCCAUGAAUAAACGGGGAGGGAAAGAAUGAUAAUAAACAGUAUAUAGUCACAAUGAAGGCUAACAAGCCCAUUCGCUAUAUCAGAAUUUAAAUGAAGUCCAUUUUAAAUUUAAUCUCAAAGGAGAAGUGACCAUCAGAAGCCAGCACAUUAUGAGUUUUUCAAAUCAUGUCAAACAAGCGCAUUCAUUUGUCAAGAUUCAUGGUUUUAGAACAGGAAAAUGAACUGGCUUGUAGAUCAUCCUAAACAGCUGAUUCAUUUAGUGUGCUUUGUUAAUAGGCCUCAUUUUUCAAGUUUGAAAAGUGAAUCCACUGGGUCCUCAGACAUUCUUGUAAAGCGUGUGGUUUGGAGGCCAAUCCAUUGUGUGCAUAACCCCCGCGUGUUUGGGAGAUAAAUUGGAGGGGGAUGCACUCUGUUUUUGUUUACUUGUUUUCCUGUUUAUUUGUUUUAACAGAAAGCAUUUGGUACAUCAAAUAAAUGUUCACACAUCAACAGAGGAAAGAAAAUCAUGCCCAGCUAUCUUGGAUAGACACCUGUCUGAAGUACUGGGUGCCCAAGACCAGUGCCUAACACACUAGGAUCUUGUGACAAUGUGUGGCUGUCACAAUGCCCAGGAUACCACAGGUAUGUAGUUUGAGGUUCUUGGAAACUGUUCUUAUCACAGGAUAUCAUCUCUCUAAAUCCAGACAAAGUGCAUCUCUACCAGUCUCCCCUCAGCUGAUUUCUGAAAUGCCCACCACCACUUCAGAAAAGUGCAAUCGACAUGGAAAAGGACAGAGUCUUAAUCAGCUGUUAUUAAAAUAUACUUCUUAUGCAAAUAUUCUAAGCCCAUAUGAUCAUGUCAACACACCUCCAGGCAAAGGAAGAAGAAUGUGGCUUUUUUGAGUCUAAAGUUUACAUGUACAAUUUGGUUGGUCACUAGCCUUUUUGAGAAGAAUACAGAAUGAAGAUAUAACAUGAGAUUAUUGAAAAGGGUGGGGAAAAGGAGGGGCCCUAAAGCUUCAAUUUCAUCAGCUUCUAUGCAAACCACUCUCUUCUCCACCCUUGGUCACCCCUCCACUCCUCCCCAUCCCAUCAGUUUGUCCAUUUCAGAUGUGAGUGCUUGAUAACCAUUUGCAUCCAUGCUUUCCCACGUGUUGUGCUUUCAGCCCACAAUGUGGUUUCAGCCUGUGUCCCUCAGUAUCCUUUUCUGGAUGUCUACAGUGCUACAGGGCACCUGAGUGUGUUGCAUGGGUCCGUGGUGGGAAUGUUUCAAUAGCACGUUAGGUCUUGAAUGUUCACCUUGAACUUAGCAGCCAUUUUUCACAGAUGAGCUGUGCAUGGGUGACUUAACAUCUGGAUACAUCUGUUCCUGAUCAUCAUAGCUCUGUCUCGUCUCAGCACCAGGUCCUGCUUACGCUUCCUUUGGAGUGCCUCUCACAUCUGUCUUUUCCAUCCACUCUCCCCACUGCUUCUGCUCGUGUCUGCUGCACUUUGCUUCACAUACGGAUCCAUGUUACUACUGUCUCCAAAUUGUGUUCCUCUUCCCAAAGUGGCAAGUACUCUCAUUUGUCCUGCAUGCAGCCUUAAACUUUAACGGCCUAAAAUGAAACUUCAUUUUCAUAUUUUAUCCCCAUGUUUUAAAAAAAAGGAAAAUCAUGAAAUACUUUAAAUAUUUUUUUCUAUUAUUUUUAGGUUGUGCCUGUGACAUGCCCAAGUCCCCAGGCCAGAGAUCAAACUCCAGCCACAGCAUGAACCUGAGCCACAGGGUAACAUGACAAAAGCCAAGCCCUUAACCACUAGGCCACCAGGGAGCUCCAUGAAAUGCUUUUUAUAGGCUGAAGAUCAUCCUCCUUAGACUGAUAUUUGAGGGCUCUGGACCACCUUUACAUAGUCUCCAUUGAUCAUGAGCAUACAAAAAUAAACUCUUUUUUCCAAAGGUUCAUGAAUUUUACUCCCUUUGUCUGCAAGUCAUUCUCAUUUAUUUUUGCAAACUUAGAAUCAUGUAAUGCUUUUAAGAAAUGAUUGCUUUCUGAUGCACAUCUGAGUACCUAUUACUCAAUAAAGGAUUUCAUUUCCAAAUUGCCAGUUUCUACAGUUUGCUUGUUUUCUACCCCAAAACAUCCAA